Molecule: ribosomal RNA, 460 nt
Filed under: uncultured bacterium
Lineage: Bacteria
Description: partial 16S ribosomal RNA
Rfam family: Bacterial small subunit ribosomal RNA
Source: RNAcentral
CCUACGGUAGGCAGCAGUGAGGAAUAUUGGUCAAUGGACGCAAGUCUGAACCAGCCAUGCCGCGUGCAGGAAGACGGCUCUAUGAGUUGUAAACUGCUUUUGUACGAGGGUAAACGCAGAUACGCGUAUCUGUCUGAAAGUAUCGUACGAAUAAGGAUCGGCUAACUCCGUGCCAGCAGCCGCGGGAAUACGGAGGAUUCCAGCGUUAUCCGGAUUUAUUGGGUUUAAGGGGUGCGUAGGCGGUCGGAUAAGUUAGAGGUGAAAUCCCGAGGCUCAACUUCGGAAUUGCCUCUGUUACUGUUCGGCUAGAGAGUAGUUGCGGUAGGCGGAAUGUAUGGUGUAGCGGUGAAAUGCUUAGAGAUCAUACAGAACACCGAUUGCGAAGGCAGCUUACCAAGCUACUUCUGACGUUGAGGCACGAAAGCGUGGGGAGCAAACAGGAUUAGAUACCCGGGUAGUC